GAUGAACGCUGGCGGCGUGCCUAAUACAUGCAAGUCGAGCGAACAGACGAGGAGCUUGCUCCUCUGACGUUAGCGGCGGACGGGUGAGUAACACGUGGAUAACCUACCUAUAAGACUGGGAUAACUUCGGGAAACCGGAGCUAAUACCGGAUAAUAUAUUGAACCGCAUGGUUCAAUAGUGAAAGACGGUUUUGCUGUCACUUAUAGAUGGAUCCGCGCCGCAUUAGCUAGUUGGUAAGGUAACGGCUUACCAAGGCAACGAUGCGUAGCCGACCUGAGAGGGUGAUACGGCCCACUGGAACUUGGACACGGGCCAGACUCCUACGGGAGGGAGCAGUUGGGAAUCUUCCGGAAUGGGGGAAAGCCUGACGGGGCAACGCCGCGGGAGGUAAGAAGGGUUUCGGAUCGUAAAACCCUUUUUUUUGGGAAAAAAAAAAGUGGAAGGAACUAUGCACGGUUUGACGGGACCUAAUCAAAAAGCCCCGGCUAACUACGUG
Molecule: ribosomal RNA, 497 nt
Filed under: uncultured bacterium
Lineage: Bacteria
Description: partial 16S ribosomal RNA
Rfam family: Bacterial small subunit ribosomal RNA
Source: RNAcentral